UUAUACCUAUUCGAAGGGAUAGGGUCGGUUCGGCCGGGUUUCACACAGGUGUUGCAUGGCUGUCGUCAGCUCGUGUCNGUGAGAUGUUGGGUUAAGUCCCGCAACGAGCGCAACCCUCAUCCUUAGUUACCAUCAGGUAAUGCUGGGGACUUUAAGGAGACUGCCAGUGAUAAACUGGAGGAAGGUGGGGAUGAUGUCAAGUCAUCAUGGCCCUUAUGGAGUGGGCUACACACGUGCUACAAUGGUGGCUACAAUGGGCUGCAAAGUCGCGAGGCUAAGCCAAUCCCUUAAAAGCCAUCUCAGUUCGGAUUGUACUCUGCAACUCGAGUGCAUGAAGUUGGAAUCGCUAGUAAUCGUGGAUCAGCACGCCACGGUGAAUACGUUCUCGGGUCUUGUACACACUGCCCGUCACGCCAUGGGAAUUGGUUUCACUCGAAGCUAAAA
Molecule: ribosomal RNA, 444 nt
Filed under: Wolbachia sp.
Lineage: Bacteria; Pseudomonadati; Pseudomonadota; Alphaproteobacteria; Rickettsiales; Anaplasmataceae
Description: bacterial SSU rRNA
Rfam family: Bacterial small subunit ribosomal RNA
Source: RNAcentral